Molecule: ribosomal RNA, 253 nt
Filed under: uncultured bacterium
Lineage: Bacteria
Description: partial 16S ribosomal RNA
Rfam family: Bacterial small subunit ribosomal RNA
Source: RNAcentral
UACAGAGGUGGCAAGCGUUGUUCGGAAUUACUGGGCGUAAAGGGCGCGUAGGCGGCCUUGUAAGUCCUGUGUGAAAUCCCCCGGCUCAACUGGGGAACUGCACGGGAGACUGCUUGGCUUGAGUUCGGGAGAGGGAAGCGGAAUUCCGGGUGUAGCGGUGAAAUGCGUAGAUAUCGGGAGGAACACCAGUGGCGAAGGCGACUUCCUGGCCUGUUCUUGACGCUGAGGCGCGAAAGCUAGGGGAGCAAACGGG